Molecule: non-coding RNA, 29 nt
Filed under: Homo sapiens (human)
Lineage: Eukaryota; Metazoa; Chordata; Mammalia; Primates; Hominidae
Source: RNAcentral
UGCCUAACACAAACCUUGUACAGGGAGGC